Molecule: ribosomal RNA, 221 nt
Filed under: uncultured bacterium
Lineage: Bacteria
Description: partial 16S ribosomal RNA
Rfam family: Bacterial small subunit ribosomal RNA
Source: RNAcentral
GAUCCUGGCUCAGGAUGAACGCUAGCGACAGGCUUAACACAUGCAAGUCGAGGGGCAGCGGGGAGUAGCAAUACUCUGCCGGCGACCGGCGCACGGGUGAGUAACGCGUAUGCAACUUGCCUAUCAGAGGGGGAUAACCAGGCGAAAGUCGGACUAAUACCGCAUGAAGCAGGGAUCCCGCAUGGGAAUAUUUGCUAAAGAUUCAUCGCUGAUAGAUAGGC